Molecule: ribosomal RNA, 403 nt
Filed under: bacterium
Lineage: Bacteria
Description: partial 16S ribosomal RNA
Rfam family: Bacterial small subunit ribosomal RNA
Source: RNAcentral
UGGGGAAUAUUGCACAAUGGGGGAAACCCUGAUGCAGCGACGCCGCGUGAACGAAGAAGGUGUUCGUAUCGUAAAGUUCUGUCCUAUGGGAAGAUAAUGACAGUACCAUAGAAGAAAGCUCCGGCUAAAUACGUGCCAGCAGCCGCGGUAAUACGUAUGGAGCGAGCGUUGUCCGGAAUUAUUGGGCGUAAAGGGUACGCAGGCGGUUUAAUAAGUCGAAUGUUAAAGAUCGGGGCUCAACCCCGCAAAGCAUUGGAAACUGAUAAACUUGAGUAGUGGAGAGGAAAGUGGAAUUCCUAGUGUAGUGGUGAAAUACGUAGAUAUUAGGAGGAAUACCAGUAGCGAAGGCGACUUUCUGGACACAAACUGACGCUGAGGUACGAAAGCGUGGGGAGCAAACAGG